Mizuhopecten yessoensis (Yesso scallop) is the source of this 281-nucleotide long non-coding RNA. RefSeq lists it as uncharacterized. NCBI's taxonomy places the organism in Eukaryota, Metazoa, Mollusca, Bivalvia, Pectinida, Pectinidae. The record is from RefSeq and is a predicted model, not a curated record. The transcript has 3 exons.
ACCCCCAAACCACACGGUUCGCCCUUGACCUUGGGACCUCACACCAGCUGCAGCCUUCACUUAUGUCUAUCUACCUUGCCGGUCAACAUUAGGCCUAUCUAACACUGCAGCAAUGUCAGCUUCCCUUCUCCGUAGCGUUGUACGCCGAGAGGCACUAGCAGCCCGGGCAGUAUGGCAGUGUUCCAGAGCGUAUGCCAGCACAGCGCCCACAACAAAGAACUACAUCAAUGGAAAAAUGGUGGAGUCCAAAGCUGACAAGUGGAUUGAUGUGCAUAACCCGG